Papaver somniferum (opium poppy) is the source of this 740-nucleotide long non-coding RNA. RefSeq lists it as uncharacterized. The transcript has 3 exons. Lineage: Eukaryota; Viridiplantae; Streptophyta; Magnoliopsida; Ranunculales; Papaveraceae. The record is from RefSeq and is a predicted model, not a curated record.
GAUUUAAGUUAUUUGAGAUCGGCUUAUUCAAUUCCUAUUGUUGGUUGUACUUGUGUACCUCCUAAUGCCAUGACUCCAACUGCAAAUGGGUCCCAAGGGAGUGUAGGUUCGACCGUGGUCGAUCUUGGAUUCUUCUCCAGCUCUACAAAUGGAGGAGUCUGGCAAGGCUAAAAGGGAUAGCACUAGAACUCCAUCUCAAGCCUGAAAUCACUUUACAAAAGUAAAAGAUGUGCAUAAAACACAUGGAUGUUAUAGCUUGAAUAUACCUUACACAUGAUUCUUCCUAGAAAUUCGAUGUUGAGAGAAAGCAAGUGAUAUAAUUGGAUCAAAUUUUAGUUGAAAAGGCUUACAGACAGUGCUUCUGAUGUUGAGCUGGCUAAAAGAUUUGCAGAUAUUAACCAAUGAUAUAGUUUACGGAAUGCCAUGACUUCUCCUCUCAUUAGUAAGUUUCAUUCUUCUCAUUUUUGUUGAUUUUUGCCUAUAUAUUUAGCUGUUUCUGAUUUGAUCCUCAGCAAAAAAUGUUUGCGAGGUUUUUGCCUACUCAUAUACAUUAUUUUCCACCACCAGUGUGUAGCGGGAUCUUUUUUUGUCUGUGGUUAAAUGUUGGUUUCUACAUCGAGGAGUUGGGUCAUUGUGAUUUUGAAUCUUGCUACUGAAAAGAGAAUUGCUCAUUUGAAUUAGCUACCUGCAGACAAUUAUUUUGAUACUCAGAUUGUGCCAAGUAGAAACAAGUUGUUUGA